AUUAAUUCGAUGCAACGCGAAGAACCUUACCUGGGUUUGACAUAUGCCGGAAAGCUGCAGAGAUGCAGCCCCCGCAAGGUCGGUUUACAGGUGGUGCAUGGCUGUCGUCAGCUCGUGUCGUGAGAUGUUGGGUUAAGUCCCGCAACGAGCGCAACCCUCGUCCUAUGUUGCCAGCGGGUCAUGCCGGGGACUCAUAGGAGACUGCCGGGGUCAACUCGGAGGAAAGUGGGGAUGACGUCAAGUCAUCAUGCCCCUUAAGUCCAGGGCUUCACGCAUGCUACAAUGGCUGGUACAAAGGGCUGCGAUGCCGUAGGUGGAGCGAAUCCCAAAAAGCCAGUCUCAGUUCGGAUUGGGGUCUGCAACUCGACCCCAUGAAGUCGGAGUCGCUAGUAAUCGCGGAUCAGCAACGCUG
RNAcentral lists this ribosomal RNA (412 nucleotides) under uncultured bacterium. Its description in RNAcentral is "bacterial SSU rRNA". It matches the Rfam family "Bacterial small subunit ribosomal RNA", at positions 945 to 1359 of the family's 1533-position model. The record is from RNAcentral.